RNAcentral lists this ribosomal RNA (491 nucleotides) under uncultured bacterium. RNAcentral's name for it is "partial 16S ribosomal RNA". It matches the Rfam family "Bacterial small subunit ribosomal RNA", at positions 29 to 506 of the family's 1533-position model. The record is from RNAcentral.
AGUGAACGCUGGCGGUAGGCCUAACACAUGCAAGUCGAACGGCAGCACAGUAAGAGCUUGCUCUUACGGGUGGCGAGUGGCGGACGGGUGAGGAAUACAUCGGAAUCUACUUUUUCGUGGGGGAUAACGUAGGGAAACUUACGCUAAUACCGCAUACGACCUACGGGUGAAAGCAGGGGAUCUUCGGACCUUGCGCGAUUGAAUGAGCCGAUGUCGGAUUAGCUAGUUGGCGGGGUAAAGGCCCACCAAGGCGACGAUCCGUAGCUGGUCUGAGAGGAUGAUCAGCCACACUGGAACUGAGACACGGUCCAGGCACCUAGGGAAGGCAGCAGUGGCGAAUAUUGGAAACUGGGCGCAAGCCUGAUCCAGCCAUACCGCGUGGGUGAAGAAGGCCUUCGGGUUGUAAAGCCCUUUUGUUGGGAAAGAAAAGCAGCAGGUUAAUACCCCGCUGUUCUGACGGUACCAAAAGAAUAAGCACCGGCUAACUUCGG